UGGCCUUCUCUUUGAUGAUGCUGCACGGU
RNAcentral lists this non-coding RNA (29 nucleotides) under Mus musculus (house mouse). Lineage: Eukaryota; Metazoa; Chordata; Mammalia; Rodentia; Muridae. The record is from RNAcentral.